RNAcentral lists this ribosomal RNA (549 nucleotides) under Ambrosiozyma platypodis. RNAcentral describes it as "eukaryotic LSU rRNA". It matches the Rfam family "Eukaryotic large subunit ribosomal RNA", at positions 78 to 648 of the family's 3401-position model. The record is from RNAcentral. Lineage: Eukaryota; Fungi; Ascomycota; Pichiomycetes; Pichiales; Pichiaceae.
CCUUAGUAGCGGCGAGUGAAGCGGCAAGAGCUCAAAUUUGAAAUCUGGUACCUUUGGUAUCCGAGUUGUAAUUUGAAGAUCACAAUCUUGAAAUUGGUCCUUGUCUAUGUUCCUUGGAACAGGACGUCACAGAGGGUGAGAAUCCCGUGCGAUGAGGAUACCUUUUUCAUUUAAGAUGUGUUCGACGAGUCGAGUUGUUUGGGAAUGCAGCUCAAAGUGGGUGGUAAAUUCCAUCUAAAGCUAAAUAUUGGCGAGAGACCGAUAGCGAACAAGUACAGUGAUGGAAAGAUGAAAAGAACUUUGAAAAGAGAGUGAAAAAGUACGUGAAAUUGUUGAAAGGGAAGGGUAUUUAAUCAGACUUGGUAUUUAGCUAUCUCUUCUCCUUGUGGGAGGGGCUCUAGCUUUUUACUGGGCCAGCAUCAGUUUUGGUGGUAAGAUAAUCGCAGUCGAAUGUGGCUCCUCGGAGUGUUAUAGCUUCUGUUGAUGUUACCUACUGGGACUGAGGUCUGCGGCUUUGCCUAGGAUGCUGGCGUAAUGAUUAAACACCGC